Long non-coding RNA from Xyrauchen texanus (razorback sucker), 470 nucleotides. RefSeq lists it as uncharacterized. The record is from RefSeq and is a predicted model, not a curated record. The transcript has 3 exons. NCBI's taxonomy places the organism in Eukaryota, Metazoa, Chordata, Actinopteri, Cypriniformes, Catostomidae.
AGUAAGGCACUUAACUCCAGGUUGCUCCGGGGGGAUUGUCCCUGUAAUAAGUGCUCUGUAUAAUACAUUGGUACUCAGAAGGUUGCUGGUUUGAUCCCCACAGUCACCACCAUUGUGUCCUUGAGUAAGGCACUUAACUCCAGGUUGCUCCGGGGGGAUUGUCCCUGUAAUAAGUGCUCUGUAUAAUACAUUGGUACUCAGAAGGUUGCUGGUUUGAUCCCCACAGUCACCACCAUUGUGUCCUUGAGUAAGGCACUUAACUCCAGGUUGCUCCGGGGGGAUUGUCCCUGUAAUAAGUGCUCUGUAUAAUACAUUGGUACUCAGAAGGUUGCUGGUUUGAUCCCCACAGUCACCACCAUUGUGUCCUUGAGUAAGGCACUUAACUCCAGGUUGCUCCGGGGGGAUUGUCCCUGUAAUAAGUGCACUGUAUAAUACAUUGGUAAUCAGAAGGUUGCUGGUUUGAUCCCCAC